Molecule: ribosomal RNA, 465 nt
Filed under: uncultured bacterium
Lineage: Bacteria
Description: partial 16S ribosomal RNA
Rfam family: Bacterial small subunit ribosomal RNA
Source: RNAcentral
GAUGAACGCUGGCGGCGUGCUUAACACAUGCAAGUCGAACGGAAAGGCCCCUUUGGGGGUACUCGAGUGGCGAACGGGUGAGUAACACGUGAGUAACCUGCCCUUGACUUCGGGAUAACUUCAGGAAACUGGGGCUAAUACCGGAUAGGAAUCCUUGCUGCAUGGUGGGGGUUGGAAAGCUUCGGCGGUUUUGGAUGGACUCGCGGCUUAUCAGCUUGUUGGUGGGGUAGUGGCUUACCAAGGCUUUGACGGGUAGCCGGCCUGAGGGGGCGACCGGCCACAUUGGGACUGAGAUACGGCCCAGACUCCUACGGGAGGCAGCAGUGGGGAAUAUUGCACAAUGGGCGGAAGCCUGAUGCAGCAACGCCGCGUGCGGGAUGACGGCCUUCGGGUUGUAAACCGCUUUCAGCAGGGGCGAAGCUUGUGGUGACGGUACCUGCAGAAGAAGCACCGGCUAACUACGUG